Vanessa atalanta (red admiral) is the source of this 363-nucleotide long non-coding RNA. RefSeq lists it as uncharacterized. The record is from RefSeq and is a predicted model, not a curated record. Lineage: Eukaryota; Metazoa; Arthropoda; Insecta; Lepidoptera; Nymphalidae. The transcript is spliced from 5 exons.
GACACAAUGGCGAAAUAUCGAAGGAAACGGAAAAUGUGUAAAACCCGUUGUCGCACUAAGCAGGGUAGAUUUAAGCGGUGUAGGUCUGGCGAUCGUCAUUAUCGUAUAAAACAGUGCUGUAAACGGCGGCGAUGUCGAUCUAGAUCUAGACGAAGAGGACGCUAUUCGUGGCGUUGUCGGUCGCGAUCCGGUUCCUUCAAACGCUGUCGUCGGUGCGACAGACGCUAUCGCUUGAGACGCAGGUCUCGUUCUUAAGAUGAUGUUCCGAUUAUUUCAAACGAUUGCCGUGUCAGUGCCGAGUCAACGAUUUGUUCGAAAUUGUUUGUAUUGUCUAUGAUUUUUUAAAUAUAUUUUCAUUUAUUA